UGUUGUAUUUAGUGUUCAGUUUAAUAAAUAACAUGAACACGUACCACGCUGCGCUUUGGUCCUCACCUCCUUCCACCAACAGCCGUUACACAGGGGAUGUUUUAAGAUUUUUGAAACAAAGUAAGAGUUAAGAAUCCAGCAUCGAACCAACCCAGCUUGAAUACAAACCAUGUUCCCUGCAUCUCUGCUGCUGCUGCUUGUAGCUGCAUCACGUGUGCACUGUGGUCUUGAGCUCACCCAACCAAGCUCAUUGGAUGUAAAGCCUGGAGAGUCUUUGAGCAUCACCUGUAAGGUCUCUGGUUAUUCUCUGACUGAUAGCAGCAACGUCCAUGGAAUAGGCUGGAUCCGUCAGCCUGUAGGAAAAGCACUUGAAUGGAUUUGGACCAUCUAUUAUGAUGGAAGCUCAUACUCUCAAAGUUCCCUAAAAGACAGGUUCAGUGUCACAAGAGACACUUCCAGCAACACAGUGUUUUUAAAAGGACAGAAUCUGCAGACUGAAGACACAGCUGUGUAUUAUUGUGCUCGGUGGCCACAGUGAUACAAACCACCAACAGACCAGUACAAAAACCCUGUAUGUGAUGAAUCAAGUACAAGCACAAACAGUAUGGCACUUAUUAGUAUAAGUAGAGUCAAAAUAAAUAACCAGUGGUGUAAAAUACUUAAGUAAAAAUACUAAACUACUCUCUUGGGGUAUUUGUACUUUACUAUUUAUACUUUUUACAUCUUAUUUUACAUUCCUAAAUAAAUGUCUGUACUUUUUAUUCCAUACAUUUUCCCUGACACCCAAAAGUACACGUUACAUUUUGAAUGCCUAGCAUGACAGGAAAGUGGACCAAGUCAUGUACUUAACAAGAGAACAUCCCUGGUCAUCCCUACCAAAUGCUUUUUUUGGGUGACUUUUACUUGAGUCAUUUUCUAUUAAUGUAUCUUUACUUUUACUCAAGUAUGACAAUUGGGUACUUUGUUCCACCACUGUAAAUAACUAGUAUAAAAAUGAAUAAAUUGAUUGACUGUUAUAAGCUGAACCAACCUGCAUUAUGAACUGUUAAAUUAAAUACAAAGUUGAGUGAAAUGUUGAUUCUCUCUUUGUUUACAGCAUGUUAAAAAUGUUGAAAAUCCCUGGACCUGUUGAAAAUCCCUGGACUCAAACACCUGUUGAACACCUGUUGAAAAUCUCUGGACUCAAAACCUCUGUGAUCAUUCUGUAUCAAAUAAAAACAGUCUAAUAGUGUUCACCUGUCAAGCACAUUGUCAUCAGUAGAGCCACAAUAGUAAAUGUCAUGAUUCAUUAUUAGUAGUUAUGAUGUGUCUCUGUUCCUCAAUCUAGUCAGUGCUUCUCCUCCACUCUGCAGUGAGAUAAGUAGUGAUGGAAUAGCUCAGAGUUAUGCAUUGACUCCUCCUUACUGGGCAGUUGGGUACAGGAACACAUGAUAUACAAUAAUAUAAUAUAGAGAACUCAGAGAUGGGGAACAGCAUCAUAUGCAUUGGGAGGUGUUCCCCAA
This is a non-coding RNA of Oncorhynchus mykiss (rainbow trout), 1502 nucleotides long. NCBI's taxonomy places the organism in Eukaryota, Metazoa, Chordata, Actinopteri, Salmoniformes, Salmonidae. The record is from the annotation of a RefSeq genome assembly.